CCUAUGGGGUGCANCAGGCGAGAAAACUUUGCAAUGUGCGAAAGCACGACAAGGUUAAUCCGAGUGGUUUCUGCUAAAGGAACCUUUUGUNAGUCCUAGAANCANUUAGUUGANGAAGGGGNGGGCAAUAAUGUGGU
This 137-nucleotide ribosomal RNA is filed under the name uncultured crenarchaeote. RNAcentral's name for it is "partial 16S ribosomal RNA". It matches the Rfam family "Archaeal small subunit ribosomal RNA", at positions 322 to 458 of the family's 1478-position model. The record is from RNAcentral. Lineage: Archaea; Thermoproteati; Thermoproteota.